UGUGCAAAAACGACCUGCUCUUUGCAAAAAAGAUUUAAAACAUUCUGUUUCGGUUGUUGAGAAACUGAAAAUGUGAGACGUAGUUGGUAGCGAAUUAUCACCAGAAUACGCAGAAGAAACAGCAAAAAGCAGAUGGAAGAGUCUGCGUGACCAAUAGAAACGUUCUCAGGCGAGUGACAAGCCGGCCAGCUUCCGUUAUUACCGACAUUUGCGAUUUUUAGAUGAGCAGUCUAGUGAAAACACGCCAUCCUCAAGCAACACUCCGAAACGUGCUGGGACUGAAAGAGGAAAGAAGAACACUAGCAGGGAUACAACAAAAAUUAAGAAAGACAUCGGAAAUUUAUCGAAAUAUUGGAAGAAGAGUACAGUCAACAGGAGUACGAGGGAGCGCAGCGAGAUUCUAAUUAAUAUCAUUCAGUAUUAU
Molecule: long non-coding RNA, 424 nt
Organism: Belonocnema kinseyi
Lineage: Eukaryota; Metazoa; Arthropoda; Insecta; Hymenoptera; Cynipidae
Exons: 4
Source: RefSeq, a predicted model, not a curated record